UAGCGGUGAGCAGUAUGGGCAG
RNAcentral lists this unclassified non-coding RNA (22 nucleotides) under Chlamydomonas reinhardtii. RNAcentral describes it as "small RNA Cre_2299". The record is from RNAcentral. Lineage: Eukaryota; Viridiplantae; Chlorophyta; Chlorophyceae; Chlamydomonadales; Chlamydomonadaceae.